Molecule: non-coding RNA, 104 nt
Organism: Pteropus alecto (black flying fox)
Lineage: Eukaryota; Metazoa; Chordata; Mammalia; Chiroptera; Pteropodidae
Source: Rfam
AUUCUUUUGUAGUUUGUAAACUUGAUGAUUGGGUGGUCACACUUUUGUGUGAGAUGUGCCUCCCUUAAACCUCAUUAUGACAUUGGCACAUUAGCCAUCUGGCA